RNAcentral lists this ribosomal RNA (425 nucleotides) under uncultured bacterium. RNAcentral describes it as "bacterial SSU rRNA". It matches the Rfam family "Bacterial small subunit ribosomal RNA", at positions 359 to 776 of the family's 1533-position model. The record is from RNAcentral.
GAAUUUUGGACAAUGGGCGCAAGCCUGAUCCAGCCAUGCCGCGUGAGUGAAGAAGGCCUUCGGGUUGUAAAGCUCUUUCGGCGGGGACGAAACGGUCCGUGCUAACACCACGGACUAAUGCCGGUCCUCGCAGAAAAAACACCGGCUAACUACCCUCCAGCCGCCGCGGUAAUACGUAGGGUGCAGGCGUUAAUCGGAAUUACUGGGCGUAAAGCGUGCGCAGGCGGCUCCUUAAGUCAGAUGUGAAAGCCCCGGGCUUAACCUGGGAACUGCGUUUGAAACUGGGGAGCUAGAGUGUGGAAGAGGGGGGUGGAAUUCCAGGUGUAGCAGUGAAAUGCGUAGAGAUCUGGAGGAACACCGAUGGCGAAGGCAGCCCCCUGGGCUAACACUGACGCUCAUGCACGAAAGCGUGGGGAGCAAACAGG